GUAGGUGGCAAGCGUUGUCCGGAAUUAUUGGGCGUAAAGCGCGCGCAGGCGGGGUCCUUUAAGUCUGAUGUGAAAGCCCACGGGCUCAACCGUGGAGGGUCAUUGGAAACUGGGGGACUUGAGUACAGAAGAGGAAAGCGGAAUUCCAAGUGUAGCGGUGAAAUGCGUAGAGAUUUGGAGGAACACCAGUGGCGAAGGCGGCUUUCUGGUCUGUAACUGACGCUGAGGCGCGAAAGCGUGGGGAGCAAACAGGAUUAGAUACCCUGGUAGUCCACGCCGUAAACGAUGAGUGCUAAGUGUUAGGGGGGUUUCCGCCCCUUAGUGCUGCAGCUAACGCAUUAAGCACUCCGCCUGGGGAGUACGGCCGCAAAGGCUG
This 376-nucleotide ribosomal RNA is filed under the name uncultured organism. Its description in RNAcentral is "partial 16S ribosomal RNA". It matches the Rfam family "Bacterial small subunit ribosomal RNA", at positions 527 to 896 of the family's 1533-position model. The record is from RNAcentral.